Molecule: long non-coding RNA, 841 nt
Organism: Hippocampus comes (tiger tail seahorse)
Lineage: Eukaryota; Metazoa; Chordata; Actinopteri; Syngnathiformes; Syngnathidae
Exons: 2
Source: RefSeq, a predicted model, not a curated record
UUCAGCAUAAUAUAACUAUCUCUAUCGCUUUCAUUUAGGUCGGUCCCGCGGGCAGCCAGUUUGGCAUCCUGGCGUGUCUCUUUGUGGAGCUCUUUCAGAGCUGGCAGAUCCUUGAGCGACCAUGGCGGGCGUUUGGAAAGCUCUUUGGCAUCUCCGUAUUCUUCUUCUCCUUCGGUUUGCUGCCUUGGAUCGAUAAUUUUGCCCACGUCUGCGGUUUUGUCUCGGGAUUCUUCUUAUCCUUUGCCUUCUUGCCAUACAUCAGUUUUGGGCGCUCAGACAUGUACCGCAAGAGGGUCCAGAUCUGUGUAUUCCUGCUGGUUUUCGUAGCUCUGCUCUCCUCCCUGGCCGUCCUUUUCUACGUUUACCCCGUGAAGUGCGACUGGUGCGAGUACCUCACUUGCAUCCCCAUCACGGACAAGUUCUGUGAGAAGUAUGACCUGAACGCAAACCUCCUUUGACUCACGUCGGCUGCUUCGGUUGCACCGCGGGUUCGUGGGGACACGGGUUGUGCCUCGGCGUUUGAAAUGAAGAGAUUCAAGUGCAAAAUUUUUGCGAGACAUUUUUGCAAGGUGCUGCCACCCUGUCUCACAUGAAAAAAACUAAAUUCAACCCAAAGGCUUUGAAGCACUUUGUUAUUAUGAUAUAAUUAACGUAACUGUUUUGACCGAUGACUCAAAUGUUUUUUUUUAGUUGUACUCAGUGCUUGUAAUGCGCAGUUUGAAUCAUGAUGAUCCAAAAAAGCACGCAAUUGCACAAGUAUUGAAGAAGACAUAUAUGAACAUUGUAAAUGAUGACUUUUUGCACAGAUUUUUCAAUUAAAAAAAGUAUAUUUCAGUAUACA